GACGAACGCUGGCGGCGUGCUUAACACAUGCAAGUCGAACGGAAAGGCCCUGCUUUUGUGGGGUGCUCGAGUGGCGAACGGGUGAGUAACACGUGAGUAACCUGCCCUUGACUUUGGGAUAACUUCAGGAAACUGGGGCUAAUACCGGAUAGGAGCUCCUGCUGCACGGUGGGGGUGGGAAAGUUUCGGCGGUUGGGGAUGUACCCGCGGCUUAUCAGCUUGUUGGUGGGGUAGUGGCUUACCAAGGCUUUGACGGGUAGCCGGCCUGAGAGGGUGACCGGCCACAUUGGGACUGAGAUACGGCCCAGACUCCUACGGGAGGCAGCAGUGGGGAAUAUUGCACAAUGGGCGGAAGCCUGAUGCAGCAACGCCGCGUGCGGGAUGACGGCCUUCGGGUUGUAAACCGCUUUCGCCUGUGACGAAGCGUGAGUGACGGUAAUGGGUAAAGAAGCACCGGCUAACUACGUG
Molecule: ribosomal RNA, 468 nt
Filed under: uncultured bacterium
Lineage: Bacteria
Description: partial 16S ribosomal RNA
Rfam family: Bacterial small subunit ribosomal RNA
Source: RNAcentral